GGACGCAUAGCUCAGUUGGUUAGAGUACUACGUUGACAUCGUAGGGGUCACUGGUUCGAGUCCAGUUGCGUCCA
RNAcentral lists this transfer RNA (74 nucleotides) under Chloroflexaceae bacterium. RNAcentral's name for it is "tRNA-Val". It matches the Rfam family "tRNA". Rfam says of the family: Transfer RNA (tRNA) molecules are approximately 80 nucleotides in length. Lineage: Bacteria; Bacillati; Chloroflexota; Chloroflexia; Chloroflexales; Chloroflexaceae. The record is from RNAcentral. RNAcentral also lists the same sequence under 6 other names.